UACGGAGGAUUCAAGCGUUAUCCGGAUUUAUUGGGUUUAAAGGGUGCGCAGGCGGAAUGUCAAGUCAGCGGUAAAAUUUCGGGGCUCAACCCCGUCGUGCCGUUGAAACUGGCGUUCUUGAGUGAGCGAGAAGUAUGCGGAAUGCGUGGUGUAGCGGUGAAAUGCAUAGAUAUCACGCAGAACUCCGAUUGCGAAGGCAGCCUGCUGGACUGUAACUGACGCUGAUGCUCGAAAGUGUGGGUAUCAAACAGG
RNAcentral lists this ribosomal RNA (252 nucleotides) under uncultured Bacteroidales bacterium. RNAcentral describes it as "partial 16S ribosomal RNA". It matches the Rfam family "Bacterial small subunit ribosomal RNA", at positions 524 to 776 of the family's 1533-position model. The record is from RNAcentral. Lineage: Bacteria; Pseudomonadati; Bacteroidota; Bacteroidia; Bacteroidales.